CGCUCGACCUUCGCCCCACCUGGAAGGCGCCGGAUGCGAGACUCGCCCUUGGCUCGGCCCGCGGCCCCGGCCGGCGCCUCGCCCUUCACCUUCAAGUCCCCGAGGGAGCUCGGCAACUCGGCCCAAGGACAGGGGCCCAGCCUAGCCGUCACCGCCGGCAGCGCGCUCCGGGUCUGGCUCUGGUAGUCACUGGCGUAUCCCGCAUCCGGCCUGCUCACGGCGCUCCAGGCCUGCCCCGCGCGCCGAAACCCUCCGCCGGACGCGGAGGAAAAGAAGGUGGUGAGCGAGGCACGGAGAUGCUCCGACGGCUGCGCGGGUCUCCGAGGCCGAACCGCCACCCGCGUUCCGGGCCAGUCCCAGCCCACGGCGUGGCCAGCGCUGCCGCCGGUCCAGCGACACUGCGGGCGCCCCCGGGCCGCGGGGCCUCUUCUGAGACCAUGUGGCCCACAGAGAAUCUAAGCUCCCGCCGCCGGGCUCCACCUCAACGGCGGAGAACUCGGGCGCCGAGCAUCGCCCGAUCCCUACCCGGCAGCGGACGGCUACAGGGUUUGAUUUUCCCCUCCACAGGAAAGAACGUGCAGAGGCACAAAUCCCCUCCUCUUCCCUCAGAGGAAAGCCUGUCCCAGCGGUCCCGCUGAGAACUUCCGAAGCCUUGGCGCGGCAGGCAGGCCCCUGAGCCGGUGCACCGCGAAGUUGCAUUCUCACCUUCGAGUCACCGUGGCUUAGGCCGAGUAAACGAGCACUUCAUCUAGCGCCGGGCGGGCCCCGGCACCAAGCUAAGAGCUCAAAACUCCUCGAAGCGGGCGCGCGACGUCGCGGUCCGAGCUCUCCUCGCCGCACUCCCCCAUCAGACCUAAGAUCUUUUACCUUUUAAAUUAAAGUGAAUCCAGAUCCUUGUUAAUGCGGCCUAAUGUAGCAGCGGGAAGAGUGUAGGUCCCUGGCGAGGGGAGCGCGCUCCGGUGACCUCUAGCGCCUCAGACGCCCGCGCAGGAGGAACUCCCGCAGCCCGCCCGGGACCCGAGGGCAGGAGGGUGCGGGGAACGGGGCUGCCACUGCGCCUAAGCCUUUCCCCUUUUAUAGGCUUUAGGGAAACAAAUCCUCUUUUCCUAGUGGAUGUAAGAAGUGAGUGAAUUUAAAGUCACAGCCACGGCGGUAAGCGGCCCCAAUUGUCUGGGAUUCAUAAUGCUGUUAAUAUACACACGUAUAUGUAACAGCACUUUGCA
This 1223-nucleotide long non-coding RNA is filed under the name Homo sapiens (human). Its description in RNAcentral is "HSALNT0137013". Lineage: Eukaryota; Metazoa; Chordata; Mammalia; Primates; Hominidae. The record is from RNAcentral.